UACAGAGGGGGCAAGCGUUGUUCGGAUUUACUGGGCGUAAAGGGCGCGUAGGCGGUCAGCACAAGUCAAUUGUGAAAUCUCCGAGCUUAACUCGGAAAGGUCAACUGAAACUGUGCGACUAGAGUGCGGAAGGGGCAACUGGAAUUCUUGGUGUAGCGGUGAAAUGCGUAGAUAUCAAGAGGAACACCUGCGGCGAAGGCGGGUUGCUGGGCCGACACUGACGCUGAUGCGCGAAAGCCAGGGGAGCGAACGGG
This 254-nucleotide ribosomal RNA is filed under the name uncultured bacterium. Its description in RNAcentral is "partial 16S ribosomal RNA". It matches the Rfam family "Bacterial small subunit ribosomal RNA", at positions 524 to 776 of the family's 1533-position model. The record is from RNAcentral.